UUUAUUUCAAUUGUAGUCCCUAUUCUUUUGAUUUUUAAUUUUUGUUCUUAACUCUUUUUGAAAAUUUUGUUUGUUUUCAAUUUAGUCUUUUAAUAAUUUGUCAUGUUUAUUUUUUCCAAUUCGAUCUUUAUUUUUUUUAUUUUUUUAUUUUAGCAUUUUUAUUAAAGUUUUAUCGGUUUUUAUUUUCAUCAUUUAAUCAAAGUUUAUAAAGUAUUAUUUUUUUCAAUUUGGUCCUCGUUCUUUUGGUUUUUUUUCUUUUGUUAAAGUUAUUUUUCU
This 276-nucleotide long non-coding RNA is filed under the name Populus trichocarpa (black cottonwood). RNAcentral describes it as "long non-coding RNA (PTRI_LNC002475)". Lineage: Eukaryota; Viridiplantae; Streptophyta; Magnoliopsida; Malpighiales; Salicaceae. The record is from RNAcentral.